This is a non-coding RNA of Triticum aestivum (bread wheat), 132 nucleotides long. NCBI's taxonomy places the organism in Eukaryota, Viridiplantae, Streptophyta, Magnoliopsida, Poales, Poaceae. The record is from Rfam.
ACCGAUUCCGGGGGAUGAUUUGUGUUCCUCACGGGGUAAUGGCUCAGACGCUAGAAGCGAUUCUCUGUGGGGUGAUAUCCUGAUUGGUGGCGUUCUCGGUGUCAGCUUAUCCUGGAAACGCCUCAUAUAUUC